GGACUACUCGGGUAUCUAAUCCCAUUUGCUCCCCUGGCUUUCGUUCCUCAGCGUCAGUUAAAGCCCAGCAAGCCGCUUACGCCACCGGUGUUCUUCCCAAUAUCUACGCAUUUCACCGCUACACUGGGAAUUCCGCUUGCCUCUACUUCACUCCAGUCCACCAGUAUCCAGUGCGAUCCCGAGGUUGAGCCCCGGUCUUUAACACCAGACUUAGUGAACCACCUACGAACUCUUUACGCCCAAUAAAUCCGGACAACGCUUGCAUCCUACGUCUUACCGCGGCUGCUGGCAC
RNAcentral lists this ribosomal RNA (292 nucleotides) under uncultured bacterium. RNAcentral describes it as "partial 16S ribosomal RNA". The record is from RNAcentral.